AACGCUAGCUACAGGCUUAACACAUGCAAGUCGAGGGGCAGCAUGGUUUUAGCUUGCUAAGGCCGAUGGCGACCGGCGCACGGGUGAGUAACGCGUAUCCAACCUGCCUUACACUCUUGGACAGCCUUCUGAAAGGGAGAUUAAUACAAGAUGUUAUCAUGAGUAAGCAUUUUCGCAUGAUUAAAGGUUUACCGGUGUAAGAUGGGGAUGCGUUCCAUUAGAUAGUAGGCGGGGUAACGGCCCACCUAGUCUUCGAUGGAUAGGGGUUCUGAGAGGAAGGUCCCCCACAUUGGAACUGAGACACGGUCCAAACUCCUACGGGAGGCAGCAGUGAGGAAUAUUGGUCAAUGGGCGAGAGCCUGAACCAGCCAAGUAGCGUGCAGGAUGACGGCCCUAUGGGUUGUAAACUGCUUUUAUACAGGAAUAAAGUUAGCCACGUGUGGUUAUUUGUAGGUACUGUAUGAAUAAGGACCGGCUAAUUCCGUGCCAGCAGCCGCGGUAAUACGGAAGGUCCAGGCGUUAUCCGGAUUUAUUGGGUUUAAAGGGAGCGUAGGCCGCAAGUCAAGCGUGUUGUGAAAUGCAGGGGCUCAACCUCUGGAUUGCAGCGCGAACUGGCAUGCUUGAGUACGCACGAGGUAGGCGGAAUUUGUGGUGUAGCGGUGAAAUGCUUAGAUAUCACGAAGAACUCCGAUUG
This 694-nucleotide ribosomal RNA is filed under the name uncultured bacterium. RNAcentral describes it as "bacterial SSU rRNA". It matches the Rfam family "Bacterial small subunit ribosomal RNA", at positions 32 to 715 of the family's 1533-position model. The record is from RNAcentral.